GACGAACGCUGGCGGCGUGCCUAAUACAUGCAAGUCGACGGGCUUAUUCGAGUAGCUUGCUAUUUGGAUAAGUCAGCGGCGGACGGGUGAGUAACACGUGGGUAAUCUGCCUCGUAGUCUGGGAUAACAAGCCGAAAGGUUUGCUAAUACCGGAUGAGUUCAUGUUAUUGCAUAGUGACAUGAAGAAAGGGGAGACCCGCUAUGAGAUGAGCCCGCGUCCCAUUAGCUAGUUGGUGGGGUAAAGGCCUACCAAGGCGACGAUGGGUAGCCGGCCUGAGAGGGUGGACGGCCACACUGGGACUGAGACACGGCCCAGACUCCUACGGGGGGCAGCAGUAGGGAAUCUUCGGCAAUGGGCGGAAGCCUGACCGAGCGACGCCGCGUGAGGGACGAAGGCCUUCGGGUUGUAAACCUCUGUCUGGGGGGACGAGUAAGGACGGUACCCCCGGAGGAAGCCCCGGCUAACUACGUG
This 472-nucleotide ribosomal RNA is filed under the name uncultured bacterium. RNAcentral describes it as "bacterial SSU rRNA". It matches the Rfam family "Bacterial small subunit ribosomal RNA", at positions 28 to 507 of the family's 1533-position model. The record is from RNAcentral.